RNAcentral lists this ribosomal RNA (274 nucleotides) under uncultured bacterium. RNAcentral's name for it is "partial 16S ribosomal RNA". It matches the Rfam family "Bacterial small subunit ribosomal RNA", at positions 38 to 339 of the family's 1533-position model. The record is from RNAcentral.
GGCGGCACGCCUAACACAUGCAAGUCGAACGAAGUAGCAAUACUUAGUGGCAGACGGGUGAGUAACAUGUGGGUAUCUGCCCUUUGGCCUGGAAUAACACGAGGAAACUUGUGCUAAUACCGGAUAAGUCUUUACGGAGAAAGCUUUAUGCACCAUUGGAUGAGCCCGCACUUGAUUAGUUAGUUGGUAGGGUAAUGGCCUACCAAGGCAACGAUCAAUAGCUGAUUUGAGAGGAUGAUCAGCCACAUUGGGACUGAGAUACGGCCCAGACUCC